This 886-nucleotide long non-coding RNA is filed under the name Malus domestica (apple). RNAcentral's name for it is "long non-coding RNA (MDOM_LNC013136)". Lineage: Eukaryota; Viridiplantae; Streptophyta; Magnoliopsida; Rosales; Rosaceae. The record is from RNAcentral.
CCUCGAUGCAGUGUAAUUGUAGUACUUAUUUAUGAUCACCUGUAGUAUCAGAGGCCCUAUCUUCAACCAUUUCGCUACAUAACAAAUAUUUAUUGCACAUGUUAUUUAUUAUAUCUAAUACGUGAGAAGUAUUGAUUGGCCGAGUGUUGUCACUGGAACUAUAAAAUGAUUGCAAUAGAGAUAAUCUCCUCUAAUACAGAAAAUACAACUUCCGUCCUCCCUUGCUUGUUACUUAGGUAUUCCGUUCCUGGUUUCCAAAACUUUUGUAAAAAGGCCCCAGUCUUCUCUUUUUUAGCUUUUAAUAAACUCCUACUCGAACUCUUCGGCUAACUUUUGUGCGCUUAAUAAUUCUCCUUUAAGUAUGGAAGGGCCCCCAAAAGAAUGAAUAAUCCUUUAUUUUUUGGGGGUAGGAUCCGGUUCGGAAAAGUAGAAUGUAAGAAAAAAAUGUUAUAACUCCCCUACCAAAUCAGUAAACUAGGUUUUGCUAUUCCUUUGCUGAGAUUAAAUUAAUUAAAAUUUCAAGUACUCUCAAAAAGAUUUGCAAGGUAAGCACUUUGACGUUCUUCUGUCAUAUAUAGUUAAAAGCGAUUCUAAUUGUCAAAAAAUAAUUUUAUAUCAACCAUUUUAAAAGCAAUUACAAAUUGAUAUACACUAAACCACAAUUAUGGAUACACUUUAAAUUUCACAAACUGUGGAGAUUGCUCUCUUACUGUAGAGCAUUUCUACAUACAUACAUAUUGUCAUAUUUACUAGUCACCUUCUUUAAAUUUCUUACAAAGAUAACAUUACUUAAAUAGAUUAGUUUUAUUAUAACCAUGCAACGGUUGAGUUUACAAUUUUCCGAUGCAUGUAUAACGAGUUCAAACCAUGAUUUAUUGUGUGUGAU